GUGUCCCUACGGGGGGCAGCAGUGGGGAAUAUUGCACAAUGGGGGGAACCCUGAUGCAGCGACGCCGCGUGGGUGAAGGAGUAUUUCGGUAUGUAAAGCCCUAUCAGCAGGGAAGAACAAUGAUGGUACCUGACUAAGAAGCACUGGCUAAAUACGUGCCAGCAGCCGCGGUAAUACGUAUGGUGCAAGCGUUAUCCGGAUUUACUGGGUGUAAAGGGAGCGUAGGCGGCCUGGCAAGCCUGAUGUGAAAUACCGGGGCCCAACCCCAGGGCUGCAUUGGGAACUGCCAGGCUGGAGUGCCGGAG
RNAcentral lists this ribosomal RNA (305 nucleotides) under uncultured bacterium. RNAcentral describes it as "bacterial SSU rRNA". It matches the Rfam family "Bacterial small subunit ribosomal RNA", at positions 333 to 654 of the family's 1533-position model. The record is from RNAcentral.